This is a non-coding RNA of Coturnix japonica (Japanese quail), 584 nucleotides long. NCBI's taxonomy places the organism in Eukaryota, Metazoa, Chordata, Aves, Galliformes, Phasianidae. The record is from RefSeq and is a predicted model, not a curated record.
UUCUGGUUGGAGAUUCCUGAUGACCUGGGGUCUUCCAAAGUCAUCUUGGAAGAUAAUGAUGCUUACAUACUGCUAGAUCAGCCAGGAAGCCUUUCUGCAGCUCUACUCCUUCCCUCUUCCCCUCUGUAAAGGAGAACCUUCAUGUGAAUGGAAUCCAUGCUGCUCCAUCCAGAGUCAGUUGGAUGUUUCUGUAACAGGCUGUGACAGAAUCACCUUUUAUCUUUGUGUGAUACAGUGGGGUAGGGCUGUGAUGUUGAAUCUGGAAAAGGCCAAGCGUGUCAUUCAUUAGCUAGCAAAAUGUCAAGUGGGUAGAAGAGCAAUCGAUGGUACAAGGAGAAGGCACACAACAGUGAGAUGCACAGAGAUUUCAGCUGCAGUUGGCUUCCAGCUGGGCUGCUUUUUUGUCUGUGCAGGAACUGGUGGCAAGAGCUCCACUCCUCCCACGAUAGGACCAAACCAAAUGUCCCUGCAUCCAUGAGCUUCUGCAGUACUGGAUGGGAAGUACAGUGAAUGACUUGUCUGCCACCAUUAAAGACUGGUUCCUGACAUGAUGUGAGGUAAAAGGACUUUGAAGUAGGCCUUCU